Molecule: ribosomal RNA, 429 nt
Filed under: Chloroflexota bacterium
Lineage: Bacteria; Bacillati; Chloroflexota
Description: Chloroflexi bacterium partial 16S ribosomal RNA
Rfam family: Bacterial small subunit ribosomal RNA
Source: RNAcentral
UGGGGAAUAUUGCACAAUGGGCGCAAGCCUGAUGCAGCCAUGCCGCGUGUGUGAAGAAGGCCUUCGGGUUGUAAAGCACUUUCAGCGGGGAGGAAGGCGAUAAGGUUAAUAACCUUGUCGAUUGACGUUACCCGUAGAAGAAGCACCGGCUAACUCCGUGCCAGCAGCCGCGGUAAUACGGAGGGUGCAAGCGUUAAUCGGAAUUACUGGGCGUAAAGCGCACGCAGGCGGUCUGUCAAGUCGGAUGUGAAAUCCCCGGGCUUAACCUGGGAACUGCAUUCGAAACUGGCAGGCUAGAGUCUUGUAGAGGGGGGUAGAAUUCCAGGUGUAGCGGUGAAAUGCGUAGAGAUCUGGAGGAAUACCGGUGGCGAAGGCGGCCCCCUGUACAAAGACUGACGCUCAGGUGCGAAAGCGUGGGGAGCAAACAGG